Tetranychus urticae (two-spotted spider mite) is the source of this 1455-nucleotide non-coding RNA. The record is from RefSeq and is a predicted model, not a curated record. NCBI's taxonomy places the organism in Eukaryota, Metazoa, Arthropoda, Arachnida, Trombidiformes, Tetranychidae.
ACUCAUUUUUUCAAUUUAUAUGGUUGUAAAUGUUAUUAUUAACUUGUUUUAAAUCGUAAUCUGUUUUGGUAUUUUGAUUGAUCGAUAGAGAUCUGUCUUUAUGCUUCAUGGAUUGAUUCAACGAACGCUGUUAUAUUUUCAAGUGUUGUAAUUAAGCGUAAGCUUCAACUAUACAAAGAUGUAAACGGAUAAAAAAGGUUUGAAAAUUGAAUCCAAGCCUGGUUAGAAUCUGAUCUAUCUAAUUGGUUUUUUUUAUACCAGCAAUCAAGCCAGGAUCUGUGGAUGGUUUGAGCGACUCUUUCUAGGCUGCCAGAUCAUGGAAGUGAAUGUAUCUCAAAUGGUCCUGAAAAUCACCCAGUAAAGGAACAAAAACAGUGACAGAAAUGAAUAAUACCCAAUAAUAGAACACUUUACAUGAGAUUCAUUGCAAUUAUCCUACUCACAAUAACCCAUAAUCAAUUAGUUAAUCAAAUUUUCACACAAUUAGCUUGAUUGUUGGCCUUGAUGACGAUGAAACUAAAGCACCUUUUUUCUUACGGAAGGAAUGGAACUGCAAAAAUGUGACCUUGACUUUCACUCUUUUUAAGGGUAAUACACAUCGGAAUAUUUUUUCAGGGAAACACUCUUCCUCAUCAUCAUGGUCCAGUCUAGUUAUUUUUCAUCAUCAUCCUAUCAUUUGCUUUCUCUUCUUCUCUUUCUUUCUCCCUUGUUCAGGUUAUUUCACUUCAUUUUCAUGUGAAUAAAGCCAAGAGAACACUUUUCUUUCCUUAUUUUUUUCUCACUUCCAAUAGCAUUGUUUCCCAAAAAUCUUAUCAAAACCAAGCAAAGUAACUCUAUCACCGCCAUGACCAUCAUCAUCAUCAACGAAAACAUCAUUAGUAGCCAAGCAAAAAUAAAGUCAAAAUGGAUGCAAAAUGGGAAUCGCAUUGAGAAACAAAUGAAGACAACUUUCCCUUUUGGAUGAUCAAAUUAUGGAUAGAGUAAAUGCUUCAUCCAUCAGAGCAGCUCGUUAUUAAUCAAUCUAAACCUGAUUAAAUGGUUAGGAAGCAUAUUAAUUAAAGCAAUGAUAUCUUGAAUCUAAUGAACGGAUACAAAACGUGAAACGAGGAUGAUUGUGUGAAUCAACGAUGAAUAUCAUUAAAAUGUACAAAAUGUUCGUCAUGUAAAAGCUGAACCUACUAAACUGUUGACUGAAACUGUUAGCUUAACUGUUAACAAGUUGAACAUUGGAGUCAUUAAGAUGAAUCGUGAAAACAUAAAUAACAAAAGUUGAACAAUUUGUUUCUCAGUUAUAGUGUUUUUAAGUGAUUGUAAAAUGAUUUCAAUUACUGUAUACUUUGGUUAAAGUUACCGUAAAUCUGUAAUAAUGACAAUAAUCAAGGAUGCUUGUUUCCAUUGAUAAUUAUCUCAACAGCAACAACAAUCUUGACCAACUAUAAAGUUUAAAUUAUAAAA